CGCCAAUUGGGGAGAGGUAAGGGUUGUCUCUGGCAGUCGUCAGUGAAGUGGGGGAGAGAAGCGUCAAUUGGAAAGAGUAGAUGUCAUCGACUGGGGAGAGAGAAGGAGAUGUCGCCGAUGCCGACUGGGGAGAGGGAAGAGUUGUCUUCGAUUGGGAAGUGGGAGAUGUCGCCACACUAGAGAGAGAGAAGGAGAUAUAGCUGACUGGGGAGAGAGAAGAUUUAUCAU
Molecule: long non-coding RNA, 228 nt
Filed under: Manihot esculenta (cassava)
Lineage: Eukaryota; Viridiplantae; Streptophyta; Magnoliopsida; Malpighiales; Euphorbiaceae
Description: long non-coding RNA (MESC_LNC012325)
Source: RNAcentral